GAUGAACGCUAGCGACAGGCUUAACACAUGCAAGUCGAGGGGCAGCGCGGAGGUAGCAAUACUUCUGGCGGCGACCGGCGCACUGGUGAGUAACACGUAUGCAACCUGCCCCGUGCAGGGGGAUAAUCCGGAGAAAUCUGGUCUAAUACCCCGUACGCCUCCGUCCCGCAUGGAAUGGAGGUGAAAGGAGCGAUCCGGCACGGGAUGGGCAUGCGGCGCAUUAGCUAGUCGGCGGGGCGACGGCCCACCGAGGCGACGAUGCGUAGGGGUUCUGAGAGGAAAGUCCCCCACACUGGUACUGAGAACACGACCAAACUCCUACGGGAAGCAGCAAUGACGAAUAUUGGUCAUUGGACGGGAGGUCUGAACCAGCCAAGUCGCGUGAGGGACGACGGCCCUACGGGUUGUAAACCUCUUUUGCGGGGGAGUAAAGUGGGCAACGUGUUGCCCAUUGCGAGUACCCCGAGAAAAAGCAUCGGCUAAUUCCGUGCCAGCAGCCGCGGUAAUACGGAAGAUGCGAGCGUUAUCCGGAUUUAUUGGGUUUAAAGGGUGCGCAGGCGGCAUGUCAAGUCAGCGGUCAAAGUUCCGGGCUCAACCCGGUGAUGCCGUUGAAACUGGCGAGCUUGAGUUCGUGGGAGGAAGGCGGAAUGCGCGGUGUAGCGGUGAAAUGCAUAGAUAUCACGCAGAACCCCGAUUGCGAAGGCAGCCUUCCAUCACGCCACUGACGCUGAGGCACGAAAGCGUGGGUAUCGCACA
Molecule: ribosomal RNA, 756 nt
Filed under: uncultured bacterium
Lineage: Bacteria
Description: bacterial SSU rRNA
Rfam family: Bacterial small subunit ribosomal RNA
Source: RNAcentral